UCGGGAAUUUUGGGCAAUGGGCGAAAGCCUGACCCAGCAACGCCGCGUGAAGGAUGAAGUAUUUCGGUAUGUAAACUUCGAAAGAAUAGGAAGAAUAAAUGACGGUACUAUUUAUAAGGUCCGGCUAACUACGUGCCAGCAGCCGCGGUAAUACGUAGGGACCAAGCGUUAAUCGGAAUUACUGGGCGUAAAGGGCGCGUAGGCGGUCGAGUAAGUCGGAUGUGAAAUCCCCGGGCUUAACCUGGGAAUUGCAUUCGAUACUGCUUGGCUAGAGUGUGGAAGAGGGAAGCGGAAUUCUUGGUGUAGCGGUGAAAUGCGUGGAUAUCAAGAGGAACACCUGAGGUGAAGACGGGUUGCUGGGCUGACACUGACGCUGAGGCGCGAAAGCCAGGGGAGCAAACGGGAUUAGAUACCCAGGUAGUCCCUGAGCGGGCUGGCAAGGCGCAU
Molecule: ribosomal RNA, 447 nt
Filed under: uncultured bacterium
Lineage: Bacteria
Description: bacterial SSU rRNA
Rfam family: Bacterial small subunit ribosomal RNA
Source: RNAcentral